GAUGAACGCUGGCGGAGUGCCUAACACAUGCAAGUCGAGCGGCAGCGCGAGUAGUUUACUACUUGGCGGCGAGCGGCGGACGGCUGAGUAACGCGUGGGAACAUGCCCCAAAGUGAGGAAUAACUGCCCGAAAGGGUAGCUAAUGCCGCAUACGAUCUUCGGAUUAAAGGAUUUAUCCGCUUUGGGAGUGGCCUGCGUACGAUUAGAUAGUUGGUGAGGUAAUGGCUCACCAAGUCUACGAUCGUUAACUGGUUUGAGAGGAUGAUCAGUCAGACUGGAACUGAGACACGGUCCAGACUCCUACGGGAGGCAGCAGUGAGGAAUCUUCCACAAUGGACGAAAGUCUGAUGGAGCAACUCCGCGUGCAGGAUGAAGGCCUUCGGGUCGUAAACUGCUUUAUGAGUGAAGAAUAUGACGGUAACUCAUGAAUAAGGGUCGGCUAACUACGU
Molecule: ribosomal RNA, 449 nt
Filed under: uncultured bacterium
Lineage: Bacteria
Description: bacterial SSU rRNA
Rfam family: Bacterial small subunit ribosomal RNA
Source: RNAcentral